AGCUGGGGGGGUGCUAUACAUGCAAGUCGAGCGAACGGACGAGAAGCUUGCUUCUCUGAUGUUAGCGGCGGACGGGUGAGUAACACGUGGAUAACCUACCUAUAAGACUGGGAUAACUUCGGGAAACCGGAGCUAAUACCGGAUAAUAUUUUGAACCGCAUGGUUCAAAAGUGAAAGACGGUCUUGCUGUCACUUAUAGAUGGAUCCGCGCUGCAUUAGCUAGUUGGUAAGGUAACGGCUUACCAAGGCAACGAUGCAUAGCCGACCUGAGAGGGUGAUCGGCCACACUGGAACUGAGACACGGUCCAGACUCCUACGGGAGGCAGCAGUAGGGAAUCUUCCGCAAUGGGCGAAAGCCUGACGGAGCAACGCCGCGUGAGUGAUGAAGGUCUUCGGAUCGUAAAACUCUGUUAUUAGGGAAGAACAUAUGUGUAAGUAACUGUGCACAUCUUGACGGUACCUAAUCAGAAAGCCACGGCUAACUACGUGCCAGCAGCCGCGGUAAUACGUAGGUGGCAAGCGUUAUCCGGAAUUAUUGGGCGUAAAGCGCGCGUAGGCGGUUUUUUAAGUCUGAUGUGAAAGCCCACGGCUCAACCGUGGAGGGUCAUUGGAAACUGGAAAACUUGAGUGCAGAAGAGGAAAGUGGAAUUCCAUGUGUAGCGGUGAAAUGCGCAGAGAUAUGGAGGAACACCAGUGGCGAAGGCGACUUUCUGGUCUGUAACUGACGCUGAUGUGCGAAAGCGUGGGGAUCAAACAGGAUUAGAUACCCUGGUAGUCCACGCCGUAAACGAUGAGUGCUAAGUGUUAGGGGGUUUCCGCCCCUUAGUGCUGCAGCUAACGCAUUAAGCACUCCGCCUGGGGAGUACGACCGCAAGGUUGAAACUCAAAGGAAUUGACGGGGACCCGCACAAGCGGUGGAGCAUGUGGUUUAAUUCGAAGCAACGCGAAGAACCUUACCAAAUCUUGACAUCCUUUGACAACUCUAGAGAUAGAGCUUUCCCCUUCGGGGGACAAAGUGACAGUGGGUGCAUGGUUGUCGUCAG
This 1043-nucleotide ribosomal RNA is filed under the name Staphylococcus aureus. RNAcentral describes it as "bacterial SSU rRNA". It matches the Rfam family "Bacterial small subunit ribosomal RNA", at positions 34 to 1058 of the family's 1533-position model. Lineage: Bacteria; Bacillati; Bacillota; Bacilli; Caryophanales; Staphylococcaceae. The record is from RNAcentral.